UCUCGAGUAGUAUAGUGGUGAGUAUCCCCGCCUGUCAUAACCAUAUAUGAUCGCGGGAGACCGGGGUUCAAUUCCCCGCUCGAGAG
This is a non-coding RNA of Paraphysoderma sedebokerense, 86 nucleotides long. The record is from the annotation of a GenBank genome assembly. Lineage: Eukaryota; Fungi; Blastocladiomycota; Physodermatomycetes; Physodermatales; Physodermataceae.